UACAGAGGUCCCAAGCGUUGUUCGGAUUCAUUGGGCGUAAAGGGUGCGUAGGCGGCGCGGUAAGUCGGGUGUGAAAUCUCGGAGCUUAACUCCGAAACUGCAUUCGAUACUGCCGUGCUUGAGGACUGGAGAGGAAGGUGGAAUUCCCGGCGUAGCGGUGAAAUGCGUAGAUAUCGGGAGGAACACCGGUGGCGAAGGCGGGUCUCUGGACAGUUCCUGACGCUGAGGCACGAAGGCCAGGGGAGCAAACGGG
Molecule: ribosomal RNA, 253 nt
Filed under: uncultured bacterium
Lineage: Bacteria
Description: partial 16S ribosomal RNA
Rfam family: Bacterial small subunit ribosomal RNA
Source: RNAcentral